AAUUCUCAAACCUCACUAGUUUUGCGACUUGUUGAGGCUUUGGAUGUGGGGGUUGCUGGCUUUCACGAGUCAGCUCUCCUUAAAUGCAUUAGCGGUUACUGUUCGCUACAUCCUGGUGUGAUAAUAUCAACGCCUAGUAGUGAUGUUAAGUGUAGCUGCUUCAAACCGUCUGAGAAUUCGGACAAUCUGAACC
Molecule: unclassified non-coding RNA, 193 nt
Filed under: uncultured Tricholomataceae
Lineage: Eukaryota; Fungi; Basidiomycota; Agaricomycetes; Agaricales; Tricholomataceae
Description: partial internal transcribed spacer 2
Source: RNAcentral